CCAGACUCCUACGGGAGGCAGCAGUAGGGAAUAUUGCUCAAUGGGGGAAACCCUGAAGCAGCAACGCCGCGUGGAGGAUGAAGGUUUUCGGAUCGUAAACCUCUGUCAGCAGGGAAGAACGGUCACUGUGCUAAUCAGCAGUGAAUUGACGGUACCUGCAAAGGAAGCACCGGCUAACUCCGUGCCAGCAGCCGCGGUAAUACGGAGGGUGCGAGCGUUAAUCGGAAUUACUGGGCGUAAAGCGCUCGUAGGCGGUAUGUCAAGUCAAGGGUGAAAUCCCCGCGCUCAACGUGGGAACUGCCUUUGAAACUGGCAAACUGGAGUGUGUGAGAGGAUAGUGGAAUUCCAGGUGUAGGAGUGAAAUCCGUAGAUAUCUGGAGGAACAUCAGUGGCGAAGGCGGCCUGCUGGACCGUAACUGACGUUGAGGCUCGAAAGCGUGGGGAGCAAACAGGAUUAGAUACCCUUGUA
This 469-nucleotide ribosomal RNA is filed under the name uncultured bacterium. Its description in RNAcentral is "bacterial SSU rRNA". It matches the Rfam family "Bacterial small subunit ribosomal RNA", at positions 331 to 792 of the family's 1533-position model. The record is from RNAcentral.